Long non-coding RNA from Bos taurus (domestic cattle), 497 nucleotides. Lineage: Eukaryota; Metazoa; Chordata; Mammalia; Artiodactyla; Bovidae. The record is from Ensembl.
GAAACAGCCUUGGUCUUACUCUUAUCUUACCCUAGAUGAACUAGCUCUGCUCAGGCCUGGAAUAACAUGGGUGCCCCAAAUUCCACUCAGGAUCUAUCAGCUUCUAUGCAGUAUUCGGGAACGUUAGUUGUGGCAUGCAGGAUCUAGUUUCCCAACCAAGGAUCCAACCUGAGCCGCCUGCAUUGGGAGUGUGGUCUUAACCACUGGGAUCACCAGCAUCUAACCCAGAGCCUGGCACGCACAAGAUGCUCAGCCGCUGUUUGUGGAGUGAAUAAACAAGCCCGGCACUGGAUGCUUGACGCUGCCUCAAUGCUUGGGGCCCUGGGUGUGGACGGAGUGCUGACCGCAGCCCGGCAUCUUCAAGGGUUGCAUGUGGCACCUUGGCUGUCUCAUUUAUAAUCCAUGAGACAGUCAUUGUAUUCCAGAUUGCUCUUCACUGUCAUUUUAGCCUUUAGCUGCUUACUGAAAUGAGCUAAUUAAAGCUGAAUUAUUUUAAU